Molecule: long non-coding RNA, 1393 nt
Filed under: Anser brachyrhynchus (Pink-footed goose)
Lineage: Eukaryota; Metazoa; Chordata; Aves; Anseriformes; Anatidae
Description: lncRNA (ENSABRG00000014539.1)
Source: RNAcentral
GUCCGAAGAGGCCACAGGAAGGGCUGCAGUUGUUAACUCGGGAACUAUCAGACGUUGCAUAGCAAGCACCAUUCACAAUGUUGGUGGAAAAAAUGCAGGAAGGUAACACAAGCCAGAAGGUCGAGUCAAUUAGGAGCAAAGGUGAAAUCACUCCUGCUUCUGGAUCAUCUUCAUUUCUAGACCACCAUUCACUGUUUGAAAUGACAGCAUUUGCUUGUCAGUUCUGCAGUUGUUCACACUCAACAUACAGGUUUUGCUCAAAUGUUGCUGUUUCUCCCUCUGCACAUCAGAGAACUGCCUUUCUCUCUGCCCAUAAGACUAAUACGCUCCUCCUGACCCUCACGUCACACACACUUUUCCUCUGCACUGCACUGAAAGAACUGCUGUGCAUGUGGUAUUUACUAAACCAUGCCUAACCUCUUUCAAUCUAGUUAUUGGCUAUCCCUCUUCUUUAACAUCCUUUUGUUCUUUCUUUCGUGGUUCUCCAUAACUAUUUCUCCAAUUUACCUUGCCUUGCCCUGUAUCUCUUGGUCACAAAAUACUGAGCCCUCUGAGAUUGUUGUCUUCUCUAGUAUAAUUGUCUCUGUUUGUACUACUCUUUUCUUUUUGGACGGAAUGCUGUUUUUGGGUUAGCUUGCUCAUCAACUUUACUCCCUCUGCUUGAUUUUAUUUUAAAGAACUGUUUCUUCCAUGACAUUUACGAUAAAGUAGACGGAUAAAACGGUUAGGUUAGGUUAGGUUAGGUUAGGUUUAAGGGCAUUUUCAUCAACCAAACAGCAAGAGUGAUCAGCCACCACAGAAGGCACUGUGUGCGAUAUUCAGAAGCACCUCCAGAAGUUAGUUAAAGCAGUAAGAACAUGCAGAAACUAAUACUUCAGCACGGAAGCGGUUCACUUUAAUUGUUUAAAUGUUUUCCUUAUUGAUUCAAGCAAACAAAAAGUGGAUACAGACUCAGUCUUGUUAGCACUUACAGCAAGUCACUUUAAACCACACCUCACUGCUGUGUCUACAUUAUAGCAUGUUGCUGACACAGCGAUGUAAGGAUAAGCAUGAAAAAGCACACUCCCUCGCUUACACAACUUUAUCAGCAAAUCCUCCCUGUGUGAGUCUAGCUAAGCUAGCACAGGAGUGCUGUUGACAGCUCAGUUAAUUUUCUUUAGCAUCAAUCUAUACCCUCCUGUGUCAUGAGAAAAGCUGUACUGUAUAUACACCAUACCUCCACAGAAAACUCUACCUGUAUAAGUAUACCAGCACAGCUACAUUUGCUGAAACUCUCUACAACAGAUGAGCUAAAAAACAAAUUGUUGGAACUGAAUGCCCACUGAAAUACCUGCAUAUAUAACUCACCAGGUACCACACUAAAGAAUAAAUAUCCUACUGUCUACUUUGCUCA